GGUUAAGCGACUAAGCGUACACGGUGGAUGCCCUGGCAGUCAGAGGCGAUGAAGGACGUGCUAAUCUGCGAUAAGCGUCGGUAAGGUGAUAUGAACCGUUAUAACCGGCGAUUUCCGAAUGGGGAAACCCAGUGUGAUUCGUCACACUAUCAUUAACUGAAUCCAUAGGUUAAUGAGGCGAACCGGGGGAACUGAAACAUCUAAGUACCCCGAGGAAAAGAAAUCAACCGAGAUUCCCCCAGUAGCGGCGAGCGAACGGGGAGCAGCCCAGAGCCUGAAUCAGUGUGUGUGUUAGUGGAAGCGUCUGGAAAGGCGCGCGAUACAGGGUGACAGCCCCGUACACAAAAAUGCACAUAUUGUGAGCUCGA
RNAcentral lists this ribosomal RNA (368 nucleotides) under Escherichia coli. RNAcentral describes it as "partial 23S ribosomal RNA". It matches the Rfam family "Bacterial large subunit ribosomal RNA", at positions 1 to 409 of the family's 2925-position model. RNAcentral also lists the same sequence under 2 other names. The record is from RNAcentral. Lineage: Bacteria; Pseudomonadati; Pseudomonadota; Gammaproteobacteria; Enterobacterales; Enterobacteriaceae.